UACAGAGGGUGCAAGCGUUAAUCGGAAUUACUGGGCGUAAAGCGCGCGUAGGUGGUUUGUUUAAGUUGGAUGUGAAAUCCCCGGGCUCCAACCUGGGAACUGGCAUUCAAAACUGAACAAGCUAGAGUAUGGUAGAGGGUGGUGGAAUUUCCUGUGUAGCGGUGAAAUGCGUAGAUAUAGGAAGGAACACCAGUGGCGAAGGCGACCACCUGGACUGAUACUGACACUGAGUGCGAAAGCGUGGGGAGGCAACAGG
This 256-nucleotide ribosomal RNA is filed under the name uncultured bacterium. RNAcentral's name for it is "partial 16S ribosomal RNA". It matches the Rfam family "Bacterial small subunit ribosomal RNA", at positions 524 to 776 of the family's 1533-position model. The record is from RNAcentral.